GUGACCAUGACCAAUGAUGACGAUGAUGAACGAUGAUGACGAUAAAGAUGACCGAGGGUGACGAUGACCAACAAUGGUGACCAUGACGAAUGAUGACGAUGACCAGUGAUGGUGAGGAUGAUGAUGAUGAAUCAUGGUGACCAUGACCAACAAUGACAAUGACCAAUGAUGGUGAGGAUGAUGAUGACCAUGACCAACAAUGACAAUGACCAACGAUGGUGAGGAUGAUGAUGACAUCAAUGACAAUACCAGUGAUGGUGAUGACAUCACCAAUGGCAAAACCAAUGACAUCACCAAUGAUGACAACACUGAUGAUGACCCCAAUGACAUCACAAAUGAUGAUGACAUCACCAAUUAUGAUAAUGACACCGAUGACAUCACCGACGACAACGAAGACGAGGCAGAUGACAUCACCAGUGACUAUGACAUCACCCAUGACAUCACCAACGACAAUGACACCAGUGACAUCACCAAUGAUGACGAUGACGACGCCGAUGAUGUCACCAAUGACAUCACCGAUGAUGAUGCCGAUGACGUCACCGCCGCCGCCGCACCGCCGGGCCAGGCCCCUCCCCCAUCCCGUGCAUGUUUAUUGAACUCAUUCCCGCCCUUUUCUCCCCAAAAUCCGCCCCCGAUCCGAAGGCUCCGCUUGACUCAAGCCCUUCGUUAAUUAAUUAACCCCGAACCCAUUAAUUAACAGCAAACCUCAGGCAGCUCCCGGGGUUUCCCUUCCCGGUGUCCGUCCGGAUUAUCCCGGGAAUUUCCCAGCGCCGUCGCUUGGACUUCCAGAAAAAAAUAUCCUCCGGAUUUUUGGGGUGAAUUCCCGGGAAAAAUCAGGAGAAAAUCACCGGAAUUCCGUUCUCCCGCCCUGCCGGGGCCGCGGGGUUUCACUUUGGGGUGAGAAAAGUCGGAUUUGGGACGGUUUUGGGGGGUUUUUUUUCCGAGAUUUUUCGGUUUUGUCGUUUUUGCUUCCGUUGGGUGGGAAAAGAAGAAAAAAAAAACAGGAAAAAUCCUGAAAAUCCCAAAAAUCCCAGCUUGGAUCCGUGCAAAAAUUCCCCAAAAAAUAAAAAAUAGCUGUAAAGCCCCGGCUCUUCUCCU
Molecule: long non-coding RNA, 1098 nt
Filed under: Parus major (Great Tit)
Lineage: Eukaryota; Metazoa; Chordata; Aves; Passeriformes; Paridae
Description: lncRNA (ENSPMJG00000004467.1)
Source: RNAcentral